CCAGAGGAGAAGACUCCCCAACCGUAGAAUCCAUCCCAGCUGCGGAAGCAUUUCUUUGAUCUUGCACUGCAGCUGUGUCAGUAAUGAAGACAAAUAGAUAGCGUCAAUGCCGCAGUUCAAGACCAGAUGCAAAAAAUAUUAACCAUAAAGGAACUAUAGUUUGCAGCACGAUUGUUUUGAGAAUACAUACCUUGAAGCCCCUCAUUGGUUGUGAUGAGAUCAAGUUCAAGGAGGUCUAGAAGACGUCCAAGAUCAACUCCGCUAGUCCAAUUUUCUGGGGGUUGGCCAACUUUGAGUUUCAACCGACCCCUGUUAGCAGUCCCACCCCAAAUGAUCCCAACAGGCUGUGGCUUCUCCCCAUUCUGACCCUUUAAUAGUAUGAGGCUUCCACUGUCUCCUUCAA
Molecule: long non-coding RNA, 403 nt
Organism: Gossypium raimondii (Peruvian cotton)
Lineage: Eukaryota; Viridiplantae; Streptophyta; Magnoliopsida; Malvales; Malvaceae
Exons: 2
Source: RefSeq, a predicted model, not a curated record